RNAcentral lists this ribosomal RNA (457 nucleotides) under uncultured bacterium. Its description in RNAcentral is "bacterial SSU rRNA". It matches the Rfam family "Bacterial small subunit ribosomal RNA", at positions 340 to 786 of the family's 1533-position model. The record is from RNAcentral.
UACGGAAGGCAGCAGUGGGGAAUAUUGCACAAUGGGCGAAAGCCUGAUGCAGCUAUGCCGCGUGUAUGAAGAAGGCCUUAGGGUUGUAAAGUACUUUCAUCGGGGAGGAAAAAACAAAACUAAUAAUUUUAUUUCUUGACGUUACCCGAAAAAGAAGCACCGGCCAACUCCGUGCCAGCAGCCGCGGUAAUACGGAGGGUGCUAGCGUUAAUCAGAAUUACUGGGCGUAAAGAGCACGUAGGUGGUUUUUUAAGUCAGAUGUGAAAUCCCUGGGCUUAACCUAGGAACUGCAUUUUGAAACUGAAAUACUAGAGUAUCGUAGAGGGAGGUAGAAUUCUAGGUGUAGCGGUGAAAUGCGUAGAUAUCUGGAGGAAUACCUGUGGCGAAAGCGGCCUCCUAAACGAAUACUGACACUGAGGUGCGAAAAGCGUGGGGAGCAAAACAGGGAUUAGAUACC